CUGGCUCAGGAUGAACGCUAGCGACAGGCUUAACACAUGCAAGUCGAGGGGCAGCAUGGGAGGUGGCAACACCACCCGAUGGCGACCGGCGCACUGGUGAGUAACACGUAUGCAACCUGCCCCCUACAGGGGAAUAACCCAGAGAAAUUUGGCCUAAUGCCCCGUAGUCCCGGACUCCGCAUGGUGUCCGGGGGGAAAGCUCCGGGCGGUAGGGGAUGGGCAUGCGGCGCAUUAGCUUGUUGGCGGGGUGACGGCCCACCAAGGCGACGAUGCGUAGGGGUUCUGAGAGGAAGGUCCCCCACACUGGUACUGAGACACGGACCAGACUCCUACGGGAGGCAGCAGUGAGGAAUAUUGGUCAAUGGGCGCAGGCCUGAACCAGCCAAAAGUCGCGUGCGGGACGACGGCCCUACGGGUUGUAAACCGUCUUUAGGCCGGGGAGUAACGUGCGGCACGCGUGCCGUAUUGAGAGUACCCGGAGAAUAAGCAUCGGCUAACUCCGUGCCAGCCGCCGC
This 515-nucleotide ribosomal RNA is filed under the name uncultured bacterium. RNAcentral describes it as "bacterial SSU rRNA". It matches the Rfam family "Bacterial small subunit ribosomal RNA", at positions 19 to 518 of the family's 1533-position model. The record is from RNAcentral.